CCAGACUCAAAAGGGAACUCAUCCUCAUUUGGGUGACAAUUGUGUGAUGCCAAUACAGCAUGUGUAGAAUAUUAUGUAAAUCAAUGAGGAGGUUGUUGUCUUCCACAGAGCUGCUUUGAAUACCCCAAUCCUCACAAAGCAGAACCCAGCUGGAGCUGGUCCAUCUCCAGAUGCCACUGGAGCCAGCACAGUCUCUGUAUGCCUUGGGAUGGGUAGAAGAAGGGAAACAAUGGAACAGAAUUAGCAUAGCUGCUGUUCAUAAUAUUAGCAGCACUAGAUGAUGAUGUGCAUUUAAUCAGAUGUACUGGAGCACAAGGUUAUUGUCACACUGGACCCAGGAACAGAGACUGGAGAGCAGAUGGUGAGUAAUGUGAUUGUGCUUUAUUUUACAACAAAACUGUGCAAACAAAAGGCGAACCGAAACGUAACAUAAAUAGGCUUAUCUGAACAACUUGACGAAAGCACAAAGAGUUAUCCACACGAGGUGAGUUGGUGCGGGCGCAGCAGCUAGUAGUCCGUGGCACUUGGGUGUAAGGCAUGAACGUAGCAGAAGUAACGUUAAUACUAGCCACUGCUCUUGUGGUGAGAGGGUGAUAAAUAGAGUGAGCAAUAAUGAGUGUCUGGUGAAGGAGUCAGAACUCCGGUGAUGGAGGGCGUGGUCGCGAGGUAGAGGUGGAAGCCCCCGUGACAGUUAUGGGAUGUGUUAUGGGCUAAAGAGAUAGGUCUUUAGUCUACGUUUAAACUGGGAGACUGUGUCUGAGCCCUGAACACUGUCAGGAAGAUUAUUCCAAAGUUUAGGAGCUAAACGCUCUUCCCCCUUUUGUGGACUUUUUUGUGAUCUUAAAGAGCGUGGUGGAUUGUAACGUGUUAGAUGACUGGCUAGAUACGUGGGAGCUGAACCAUUUAGAGCCUUGAACAGGCAUACAGAGAUUGUGGCAGAUCCAGUGGCAUCCAGAGAUGGACCAGCUCCAGCCGGGUUUGGCUUUGUGAGGACUGGGGUAUUCAAAGCAACGCUGCCAACCCGAUGUGGAUGACAACAAUCUCUUUAUUCAUUUACACAACACUGUACACAUGCUGUAUCUGCAUCACACAAUUGACUAUACAUGAAUGCAGGAAGGACAUUGUUCAUAUCACACUCUCCUGUGUCACCCAAAUGAGGAUGGGUUCCCUUUUGAGUCUGGUUCCUCUCAAGGUUUCUUCCUCAUACCAUCUAAGGGAGUUUUUCCUUGCCUCAGGCUUGCUAUCUAUAACUAACUAUCCAUAACAAUUCUCUUACUGUUACUCAGAAAACAGGACCCAGGUUUAACUCAUUCGAAGUGCUUGUCCUUAAUAUAGCACUCACAGACAUGCAUAAUAAAUCCCUGCUAUCUCUUGCUCUGGCCACCGUGUAUAGACCCCCGGGGCCCUAAGUUCUCCUAGCAGCUAUAACAGCUUCAACUCUUCUAGCAAGGCUUUCCACAAGUUUUAGGAGUGUAUUUAUGGAAUCUUUCAACAUUGCUCUAGAAGCACAUUUGUGAGGUCAGGCACUGAUGUUAGAUGAGAAGGCCUGGCUUGCAGUCUCUGCUCUAAUUCAUCACUCCAGAGAAUACGUCUCCACUGAGAAAUGUACCGAGACAUUCUUUAUAAAAAAAUCUGCUGCCAUCUACCAGGACCAUCAACAUGAAACCAGGGUGGACAUUUCAGCAAGAUGGUGAUCCCAAACACAAAGCCAAGGAGAUAGAAAUUAAAAUUUUUUCUUCAGAGAAAGAAAUUAAAGCUGCUAGAAUGGCUCAGCCAAUCACCUGACUUGAAUCCAAUUGAAAAUCUAUGGUCAGAGUUCAUAGAAGAUGCCCACUGACCCUUCAAGCUUUCAAGACUGUUUGUGUGAAACAAUGGGCCAAAAUCACACCUGAGCAAUACAUGCAACUACUUUCUCCAUACAAGAGGCAUCUUGAAGCUGUCUUCAGUUCACACAGGUGUGUGUGUGUGUGUGUGAAUAAUAAAACCUUGCAUAAAUGAUAUGGAGAAAGAGAUUAAGAUAAAGUGUGCACUACCUUAUCCAAACACAAUAAUACAGUAGAAUAUGAACAUCAUUUAUGGUACGAAGAAGAGAUCGACAAUACGAUAAUACAGUGUGUUUCACCAUACAAUGAAGUUCUUACUCUGAAUCAUCAAGCAGCCUAACACGUAAGUUAAGGACAUUAAAAAAAAUAUUGAUAUUUUAUCGAUAUGAAUAAUUUCUGCUUAACUAAAUGAUGUUAACGCUGUGUACAGGAUGGUCAGUGACAGUUUGUAUAUAUGACGUUACACACCGUUCGGUCUGCGGCGAAAUGCGAGUGAUCAUGUGCCAAUCAGCUACGUACGCAACACACAUACACACACACACGUUACAGAAUGGCACGAAGGCAGAAAGGAAAUGUAACGUGGUGCGGUGCUACUUCUCAACAGCGGGAAAAAAUGCACAAUGCAAUCAAUAUUUGUGAUGAUAAAAAAGUCACACACAGCAACAAUACAAGCAACCUUUUUCAACACUUACAGACAACACACACACACUGAAACUUGCUGCCCAGUCUCCCUUUGCCCCGUCUCCCUCUGCCCGACAAAAGACGUUACAGGAGAGUUUUAAGGGAGGUACAAAGAACACAGUAAUUAAUUGACUUAUUAACUGUUCUCUCUCUCUCUCUCUCGUUACCAUUAGGUAAAUAAGAAUAAAUAUGAAAGUGUGUGUGUGUUUGCUCAUGCGUGCACUUCUGCAUGUAUAGGGGAUGUACUAGUAUUCCUUACGUUACAGAGACCAAAAACGUCCCCACAAAUUCUGGCCUUCUGGAGAUAGAAUAUACAGUUUGCACAGUAUAAUAAUAAUUGUGUUUGGAAUGUCCCCUUAAUGUUAGGCAUACCAGUAUGCGUGUAUAUGAAUAUUUAUACUAUGUGUGUGUGUAUAUUUUGUGUAAGUUGUUAUUAAUGGCCAGUAUGCCUUUGUAAUUUGCAUUUACAUGUAAUGAUCUCUUUUGUAAAAAUGAACAUUAUUUUGAAAAAUCACAUUCACAUUUCAAAUAAUCAGUGGUAUCGGUGGCGUUAAAAUUGUAAGAAAAACAAGAUAAAAAAUCUGUAUCGUAUCACGUUAAAAAAUGGUGGUAUCACUCAUCCCUAGUGACGAUUGUCUUUGCUGAUUAAUUGUUCUUAUUGUUGAUUAUUAAAUUGGAAAAUAAUAAAACCUUGCUUAAAUGAUGUAUAGAAGGAGAUUAAGAUAAAGUGUACAAAAAUAAAAGGGGGUCUCGUUCAUUAAAUCCCCCCCAUGCCAAGCUAUAGCCAAGCUAUUUGGUUGCUAAUAGUCUAUAGGUAGUAGCUUAUAGCCAAGCUAUUUGGUUGCUCAUAGCCUAUAGCUAAUAGGUUGGCAUGGGUGCUUGUGUGGCGUGGUCACUUGCCCAUUACAGGAGAGGCCACUUUGCGCUACCAGACACGAGCACAAUAAUACAGAAGAACAUCAACUGUAUUUAUGGUACGAAGAAGAGAUCGACAAUACGAUCACGGUAGGUUUAAAAAAAUACACACUAUUUUUAAAAUACACUUUUUCCCCAUCCUUUAAACAUUUAUACACAGACUACUAGACAUGGCGAGGACUAGUAUUUCAUUAUUUUCUAAAUGAACGAAUUUGAAAUGGCAUUUUUGAACGUAUUUGUAUCUUCCCUUGUGGGCGUGUCCCACUGCACCUACGGCUCUUCUACAAGGCUUGUUGACUGCGCGCUCUUCUCAGCUUUCUGUGUUCAGCAAUGCGCUUUGUACAUUUUAGCAGUCACUGACAGUGUGAGCUUGCAUGCAUGGCAAUUCCCAUUGUCCAAGCAAACGGUUUCUUAUCGUCUCCUGUGUAAUGAGUGGGAGUAUCCAUCGACUUCUGAGGCUUUUGCUUUGAAAGGAGCCGUGUGUGCCUUUCUUUAGCUAGUGUAGAGAAUUGUUAUGUGCACCUACUGAUUUUUCUUCUUGUCGGCGAGUUUAAAGCAAUUUUACUCGCACCCACAGGAUAGGGGUAAGUUUCUCACGUUACGCUGCUCCAAGUGUUAUGACUGCUCAGAGGCCAGCUUUGACCUAGGGCCUGUGGCUCGGCAGUAAAGAUAAGAUUUUUUUCUGGAUUUAUUGACUUAUUUCCACGGAACUAUUGUAAUCCGGUCCUUAAUGCUGGCGCCAAGCGCAUAUUUAGUGUUUCCAACUUGUCAGGACUUGGACACGAUCCGUUCUACUUUCCGGGUUGUUUCAGUCGAGUUGAGUGACGGUUGAAUUGUCCAAUCCGCAGAGGGAUUGCGUACGGCACCCCAGCCUAUCAGCUGUAAGUAGGGGUGGAACCUGUCGUAGCUUAGUAGGUAGCGUGUUGGUUUUUGGAGCUCAGGCCCUUAGAGACUGCGGUUCGAAGCCCGUGCGGACCUCAGGCAGAGUGAACACUACGUGCUUGUUCAAAGUAGAGUAAAAGCGGGUGAUGGAUGUGCUAAUAGCUAAAAUCUCCAUGAGCUGUUUCUUUUCUGUUAAUAUUUCCAUUAAAUUGUGGCCGCCCCCUCACCUGCUUAUUUAAGGCUUCGGUGCCUUUUUGUACCAUUGCAAAUGAAUAAACGGCAUAUUUUAUGCGCUAAUCACGUUAGCAUUAGCAGCUAAUGCUAAUCGCUAGCUUGGUCUGUGCCAUUACUAAGCCUUGGAUUGGCACAAGUAAGUGAUGUUGAGAUUGAAAAAGAAUGGUUUUUGAAUUAAAGUGAAUUAACUACAACUUGUUGUAAGCCGUCUGAAAUAUUGGGCUACUUUUCCUGCCGAAAGCCUGAAGACGACGAAGAUCUUUUCUGUUCAUCGAAUUGACGUAAUCCUCAAUGAACCACCUGUGAUGGACUUCAUUUGAGUUUUCCCAGAUGGAGGAGGAAUGUCCUCCUCCUCAUCCUGCAUUUUGCCUGAAGAGAAGCUGUGAUCAGAGGCCUCAUUUUCUACCUUGGUGAGGAGACAGAGGAGUUCAUCAAGGACUACCGAGUACAGAAUACACCUCUGACAUUGCUCUAAGUCAGUGCCCUGCCUGUACAAGACAAGAACACCCGCUUCUAGCCGGUUAGCCCAUUAGCAUCGCUAACCCGAUAGCCCGGCUACCACAGGUGAGGCUAAAGGUAAGGUGAGGUGCGCACUCGCUGUCUUCCUGGUGCUCGUGUUCUUGAUGUCGCUGCACGGGUACCCGCCAUCCUGAAUAAGCACAUCGGAGCUGUGGUCCUCCAUGCUGGCACGAACGACAUCAGGCUGAGGCAGAUGGAGAUCCUGAAGAAGGACUUCAGGAGCCUGGUGGAGAAGGUUCACACCACAUCGCCCAUCGACGAGGAUCAUCGUGUCAUGACCACUUCCCGCGUUCCAGCAAGGAAUCGAGAGGUUCACUAGACUAUUUGCUUUUAACGAACGGUUACACUCAUGGUGUCAAGACCAGAAAUUAAGCUUUGUUGAUAAUUGGAAUAUUUUCUGGGAGCGUCUUAGGCUCUACCGUUCUGAUGGGCAUAGUUGGAGCAGCAGUCCUCUCGGACAACAUCUCCAGGACACUACGCACCAUCUGACUGAGGUAUACAGAGAUUGUGGCAGAUCCAGUGGCAUCCAGAGAUGGACCAGCUCCAGCCGGGUUUGGCUUUGUGAGGACUGGGGUAUUCAAAGCAACGCUGCCAACCAUAUGUGGACGACAACAAUCUCUUUAUUCAUUUACACAACACUGUACACAUGCUGUAUCUGCAUCACACAAUUGACUAUACAUGAAUGCAGGAAGGACAUUGUUCAUAUCACACUCUCCUGUGUCACCCAAAUGAGGAUGGGUUCCCUUUUGAGUCUGGUUCCUCUCAAGGUUUCUUCCUCAUACCAUCUAAGGGAGUUUUUCCUUCCCUCAGGCUUGCUCACUUGGGAUAACAUCUAGGACUGUUUGUCUGUUUCUUUUUUCUUAUGUAAGGCUGCUUUGAGGCAAUGCUCUUUGUUAAAAGCACUAUACAAAUAAAAUUGAAUUGAAUAAGAGUCUUGAUGCACUCUGCCUUACUGAAACCUGGCUUAGACCAAAUGACCACAUUGGUCUGAAUGAGUCUACUCCGUCAGGAUAUUCCGAUAAGCAUGAGCCCCGUCAGACUGGUGGUGAAGGUGGUGUUGCAACUAUCUAUAACAAUUCUCUUACUGUUACUCAGAAAACAGGACCCAGGUUUAACUCAUUCGAAGUGCUUGUCCUUAAUAUAGUACUCACAGACAUGCAUAAUAAAUCCCUGCUAUCUUUUGCUCUGGCCACCGUGUAUAGACCCCGGGGCCCUACGCUGAUUUUCUUCAAGAGUUUGCACACUUACUCUCAGACCUAUUGAUUCAUUUUGACAAAGUGUUGAUUGUAGGUGACUUGAACAUUCAUGUAGACGAUGCCAAUGAUGCUUUAGGACUCUGGUUUCUGGAUUUACCAAAUUCCUUUGGGGUUAAACAAAACAUCACUAGACCAACUCAUCGUUUUAAUCAUAUGCUAGAUUUAAUUAUAUGACAUGGAACAUGUGAGGACAUAAAAAGUACAUAAAAAAAGAAACAUACAAGGUGUGAAUUAAAAUUACACAAUCUGAAACACACUAAUAACUGCUUUAUUGUGGAUUUAUUCUGUGCUGAACUUGUUGGGGAACAGUUAAUGAUGUGUGUUGGGCGCUGAAUGUGUGCUUUUAUCUUGAGUUAUUAUGACUUGGUCACAAUCCUAAUUAAUUGGUGUUAUCUUGAGUUUUAUGUAGAACUGCUUUAUCCUCCAUGCAACGAAAUCCAUAUUUCCACGUGUUCUAUCUACACUGGGCAGGUAUGUUAUAGAAAAUCUUGUAGUGUGUGUAAUGGAUUUGUCGUUUUAUUACUGUGGACUUGCAUGUGUUCCCCACUAGGUGGGGAUGUUUUCCCUUAACGUGCCUAACCCUAGACACGCUUCAAAACUUUUGUGUUUGGAAAAUUAAUAGAGUACAGUAAAACGAAUAACAAGUGGAGAUUCAACAAGUGCAACACGUGGACAUGAGCAAGGUAAGCACUAUUUGUAUAUACACUUUAUGGCCAAAAGUUUUGGGACGCCUGCCUUUACGUGCACAUCAACUUGAAUGACAUCCCAUUCUUAAGCCGUACGGUCUAAUGUGGAGUUCUCCUUGCAGCUAUAACAGCUUCAACUCUUCUAGCAAGGCUUUCCACAAGUUUUAGGAGUGUAUUUAUGGAAUCUUUCAACAUUGCUCUAGAAGCACAUUUGUGAGGUCAGGCACUGAUGUUAGAUAAGUAGGCCUGGCUCGCAGUCUCUGCUCUAAUUCAUCACUGCAGAGAAUACGUCUCCACUGAGAAAUGUACCGAGACAUUCUUUAUGAAAAAAAAAAAUCUGCUGCCAUCUACCAGGACCAUGAACAUGAAACCAGGGUGGACAUUUCAGUAAGACGGUGAUCCCAAACACAAAGCCAAGGAGAUAGAAAUUACAUUUCUUUCUUCAGAGAAAGAAAUUAAAGCUGCUCGAAUGGCCCAGCCAAUCACCUGACUUGAAUCCAACUGAAAAUCUAUGGUCAGAGUUCAUUGAAAACGCCCACUGACCCUUCAAGCUUUCAAGACUGUGUGAAACAA
Molecule: long non-coding RNA, 7569 nt
Organism: Hemibagrus wyckioides
Lineage: Eukaryota; Metazoa; Chordata; Actinopteri; Siluriformes; Bagridae
Exons: 7
Source: RefSeq, a predicted model, not a curated record